RNAcentral lists this long non-coding RNA (6940 nucleotides) under Vigna radiata. RNAcentral's name for it is "long non-coding RNA (VRAD_LNC002122)". Lineage: Eukaryota; Viridiplantae; Streptophyta; Magnoliopsida; Fabales; Fabaceae. The record is from RNAcentral.
GAUUGAAGCAAUAAAGGAAGAAGAGGUGAGAAGCCAUGAAGAUGGAGCUCAAAAAGGGUCAAAGAGGCAUCAAAAAGGAAGAAAACUCGAAGCCCGAGCGAGUCCAGGCAAGAAGAACGAAGAAUUUACGAGCUGGAAUUCAUCGCUCGUCGCCUGGGCGACGGAGACGGAGCCGACACCCGGGUGACAGACGUUCGUAGCCUGGGCGAGGAAAAUUGACUCCCAAGCUCAACAUGAGCCUUGAUUCACGCUUGGGCGAGCUCCCUACGACGCUUGAGCAUGAAUUCACCUGGAUCGGGCCCUGUUUUUGCUCUGAUUUGAUUCUUUUGGACUAGGCCGCACUCUGGGACACGCCUAACACUAUUUAAAGGACCCUAGGGCUCUAGGUUUUGCAUCCCCUGGUAGAGAAGAGCACUCCAAUACACUCUUAGCCAGUUCUAGAUAUUCCAUCUUCUUCUUUUCUUCCAUUAUUCAUAGGUUCCCCCAUGUCUAUGGGGAACUAAUUUUUAUUUGUUGGUUGGGAAUGAUGUAACCUUGUGAACUCUCAUGUAUUUGAAUUGAUUCUUAAUUUCAUAUGCUUUUUCCAUUAAUUGUUAGAGUGAUUCAUCUGUUUUAUUCUUGCUUAUACAAUAACAUUAUCUUUGAUUUGCAUGAGUGUUGGGAGGUUGCUUGUAUUUGAGGUCCUUGUUGAAUUACUCCUGAGGGUUAUAUUGCUCAGGAUUGAGGGUAUGAGUCUUAGUCGUCUUAACCUCUUGAUCUUCACAUCUUUUUACUAGGAUUGCUAGGAAUUGCAUAAACUGGUAAUCAGGGAAAGACUUAUUCACCAAUGGAUUGGGUUUAAGUGUUUUAGUGAGGGACGUUAACAUUAAUGCAUAAAAAGAGAAAUUCUUAUAUGCAUGAGAGUGAACUUGGUGAAAUCAAACCCCAACAGCAUAAUCAUGUCAUACUAAAACAACCUCCAUUCAUCUUUGUCCUCCUUUGCCAGUGAUCAAUUUUACUUUGCUUUAUUUUAUUAUUAUUGCAAUCAACACCAUUGAUCUCUGUUAUUUUCACUCUUAAUUAAUCUUGUUUUUUCACACAACUAUUCAACGCCGAGAGUCCUCUGGGAUACGAUACUUGGUUUUACCAUUUUAUAUCACUUGUACGACUCGGUACACUUGCCAAUUUGCCCCAACAAGUUUUUAGUGCCGUUGUCGGGGAACUCACGGUUUAAGCUAAGCUAUUUGUGUGAAUCUUGAUUAAUUUUGACUUUAUUUUAUUUUAUUUUAUUACAUCAAAUAUUUCCCCUUUUUAUUUUUAUUUUUAUUUCUAUUUUUCAAAUCCCCUAUUUCCAUUUUUGUUUUAUUUCAUUCGAUUCUAUUUUGUGCUAACAAUAUCUUCAAGAUUUUGUGUCUGUUUAUGCAGGAUUAUACCCGGAGCAGAAACUCUGAACCUCUUCUUAAAGGACUUGAGACCAGCAGAAGGCCAAGGACAUCAGCUAAAAAACCUUCUCUAGAAAACAACAAUAUGGCUUCCCAAAAAGUUAAUUGGCAAAACCGUGCUAGACACACCUUGACAGACUACACAACAGUGGGUGGCCCUCAUCACUUUAACAGCAUUGCAAAGCCAAUAGUCAAUGCUGCAAAUAUGGAGAUGAAGCCUGCUCUGAUCCACCUUGUAAAGAGCAAUCAAUUCAACGGACUGUCUCAUGAAAGCCCAUAUGAGCACUUGACAACCUUUGAUGAGAUCUGCAACACUGUGAAGAUGAAUGGGGUUCUUGAUGAGGCUAUAAAACUGAGCAUGUUCCCCUUCUCUCUUGGAGGUAGUGCUAAAUUAUGAUUGAACUUUUUUCCUGAAAACAGACUCACUGAAUGGGAAGAUGUGGUAGCAAAAUUUAUCAACAAAUACUUUCCCCCAUCAAAGAUCAAUAAAAGGAAGCAAGAAAUCUCUUCUUUUAGACAAGGCAUGGAGGAAACCUUGGGGCAGGCAUGGGACAGAUACAAAAGCCUAUUGAGAAAGACACCUGUUAAUGGUUUUGAUGAAGGAACAAUGGUUAUUCUCUUUCUUGGAGGCCUUGGGUCACAAACCAAAUUAAUGUUAGAUGCCUUAGCUGGGGGCAAUAUCAAAUGCAAGACUCCUGAUGAGGCCUAUGAAUUAAUUGAGAACAUCGCUGCCAAUGACAAUGAGAUGCAUAAUGAAAGAAGGGCGUCUGCCCAACCUAAAGGAGUUUUUCAAUUACAGCCUUAUGAUUGUCAGAGCGGCUGCAGCGGAAUGGUUAGCGUGGAAUAUCAAACCAAGAGGGUUUUUAAUUCAAAUGCGUGCCUUUUAAUUUCUUCUCAAUUAAACUUACUAUGCAAAUAAUAAAUAUAAAUGAAAGAGUAAGGUUGACAGAAAUUUGCACAAAUGAAUUUUAUACUGGUUUGGAUCUUACCAAUCCUACGUCCAGUCGCUUAUCUCAAACCAAGAUAAACAGUUCACUAAUCACAAAACAAUUACAAAUUACAAUCACAAAGAAACAAUUUGUAAAAGUUUAGAAACCACCUCUCUUGAUACCACAAGAGAUGAACCUGCACCUCCUUUGAGUCUUCACAAAGGAUGAGACACCUCCUCCGAAUACUUCACGAAGGAUGAUCCUCUUCCAAACACCUCCUUAGACGCACCAAGGAUGAACCGACUAUUUCCUCUGUCAUCGUAACAACACUUCACCAACUCUACAGACAAGAGUUUCACAAGCUGAACAAGAACACACCCUUCUCAAGAGUUUCUGAGUUCUUAAGCAUAAGGGAAGAGUUGCAUUUGCUUAAGAACCAGCUAUUUCCUCUUCCAAGCAAAUACUCUUCCGUUCUUCGAAAUUGACCAUUUAAUGCUUUUAAUCGAUUAAUACAAGUGUUAAUCGGUUAAAAUGAGUACAAUGGCUAGUUUUUCAAAUCUGAAACCUCCAACUGUCACUUUUAAUCGAUUAAAACGGUGCGAUUUUGACUCUUAACACUAAUUACAAUGUACGAAAGUAUAUGGAAUCAAAACCAAUGAAAAUCUAAGUCCUAAACAAUAAAUACAAUUAUUACAAAAGCUUUUAACAACAAAACAAGUCUUCAAAGGAUCUUCUUGAAUCUUCAUUUCUCUUGACUUGAUUUGGACAUCAUCAAAACUUCAUCUUCAUCAUUUUGCUAACAAUGAUGUCUUGCUUGCUCAAAAUAAAAUCAUCACUCAGCAAUUGGAGAUCAUGACCAAGAAGGUGAUGCAGCCAUAAAAAGAACAUCAAAAUGUGGCACAGGUUCAACAAGAACUUUGUGAGUUAUGUGGUGGCGACCAUAUUAAUGGUCAAUUUGCAGUGCCUGAGAAUAUUAAUGAAGAAGUUAACUACAUGGGCAAUCAAAACCAAUUUCGCUCCAACAACUACAACCAUGGGUGGAGAUCUCACCCAAGUAAUGGAGAAGGACAAUUUGGACAAACUGGUGGGCAAUAUUAUAAGCCACCAUAGCAGCAGCAGCAGUGGCAGCAACAAUCCUCUUUGCUAGAAAAAUCUGCACAACUCCAGGAAACUCUCAACCAGUUUAUGCAGGCUACUCAGUUUAACCAGAAAAACACAGAAGCGGCUAUCAGGAACCUGGAAACACAGAUGGGCCAGUUAAUUCAAACGGUCAAUCAAAUGCAGGAAAAGUCGUACAAAACUUUUGGGGCUAAUACUGAGGUUAACCCCAAAGAAGAAUGCAAGGUUAUAACAAGCAUGGAGGAUGAGAGAGAAAAAGAUAGGAGAGAAAAAGAAAAAAAAGGGGGAAAAGAAAAAGAAACAUUGAGUGAGGGUGAAAAAGAGGAAAAGAGUGAAACAAUUAUUUUGAGUGAAAAAGAAAAUUUGAGAGAGAGAGAAAGAAAAGGGUGAGAAAAAGGAAGAGGAGAGAAAAGAAAAACUUAUCAAGGACUCUAAAGAUUAGAAUACAAGAAAAAUACAAGCAGAGUGUCUUGAAGGAAUUUCAAAAAAAUUGGGGAUAGAAGUCCCUAUAACAGAAGCCCUGCAACAGAUCCCUGAAUAUAAGGAAUUUUUGAACUAGCUCCUCAGAAAGAAAAAUUUAAAAGAGGAAACAAAUGAAGAACAGGAGGAUUGCAGAAUGAUCUUACAGAAGACUCUUCCCCCAAAAGAAGGAGACCCAGGAAGUUUCACCAUUCCUUGCAACAUUGGGGAGCAUAAUAUUGGGAAAGCCUUGAUUGAUUUGGGGUACAACAUUAAAUUAAUGCCCCUGACUUUUCUUAAAAACAUGGGAGAAAUAGAAGUAAAGCCAACAAAGAUGUCUCUCCUUAUGGCAAAUGGAUCCCCUAAAAGGCCCUAUGGCAUACUAGAAAAUAUAAAGUUGUAAGUUGACAACCUGAUGUUCCUGGUAGACUUUGUCAUUCUAGAGAUGGAAGAAAAUGCAGAGAUUCCUAUCAUUCUUGGAAGGUCGUUCCUGAAGACGGCCAAAGUAAUUAUCAAUGUUGAUGAGGGAACCAUAGCCCUCAAAGAUCAAGAAGAGAAAGUGAUCCUGAGUGCCUGUAAGACAGGGCGGCAGAUUGAAGAGAAGAAAACCAUGCCCAAAGGUGCAUUAAAAGAUGCACCCGGGAAAGGUACCAGAACCACCAAACCCAGAAAAAAAGGAAAAAAAUAUUUUCUAUCACAGGUACCUAAGGAAGAAGAAGAUAGCAAAGGAAAAAGUGCUCAUCAAAGUCCUUUAAAGAAUCAGGAAGGACUGAGACCAGGCCUCCCUAUGCAAUUCAACAAGAAGCUUUGGGUAAUAAAAGAUUUCACAACAGAUGGACUGAUAGAGAUUGAAGCUCCUACUUCUAGGAGAACAAAAAGGGUGAAUAGAAAAAUGUUAAAGAUCAGCUGGCAGGCCAAGGGAAAGGAUGACAUCUCCACAAUCAUGCAGCUGAUUGAUGUGACAUGAGCUUAUUGGGUCAAGCUAGUGACAUUAAAGAAGCGCUUGCUGGGAGGCAACCCAGUGCUCUGAACCUUUACUUUUUAAUUUUUGUUAUUUAUUUUAAUUUUUAAUGUGUGUUUUCUUUUAAUUUCUAUAUGCUCUGCUUGAAUGAACUAAACCGCUUUGAUUCACCUGUGGUCUAUUUUGUGUGAAGAUCUUGUUUUUCUUGAAAAUUUUAGUAUUUGAUUGAGGUUGAGAUGAUGCAUGAUAAAUUUGUGAGACAGGUGCUUGAAAUAAAGUUUGAUUAAAAUACUGAGCAGGAUGUUUUUCUAAAUUUGAGAAAUUGUGAGAUUACCUGUGUGAGUUUUGAGCUUCAGAGUUGUUUUUAAAUAAUUGUUAUUACUUUCGAAGCAUGAAUGGUUUUGCACAAAUUUUCUAUGAUUGAACUACUUGCUUGCAGGUUCCAUAUGAUCAAGGCCAUGUUUUGUUAUCCCUUAUUCUUUUGGCCUCCAAAAUAGUUUUGCCCACUGAAAAGAGAACAAUUUUUUCUAACCUUUGAACCCUAAGCCUAAUAAAUUAUGAAAAACCUUUUUGAAAAUUUGUUUACCUUGAGUUAAGGUGAGAACAUUUGAUGAGGUACUAAUAAAGGUUCAAGUUUGGGGUACCAAGAAGUAGACCACCUCUCUAGGCAGUGAGCGAAAAGGAAAAGAAAAAGCAGGAAAAAGGCAAAAGAAAAGAAAAAGUGAGAAAAGAAAAAUUCCAAAGGAAAAAGAAAGAGCUCACUGCAAGGGAAGGCUGGGAAAAAGAUAAGAGAGUUGUUCUUAAAAGAAGAUCUCGCAAAUGCCUCUCUUAACUCAAGGAGCUUUGCUGACCAGAAAAACCAAUUUCCUUCUUAGCCCAGCCAAGUUACAAGCCAUGAAAAGCCCUUGUGAUGACAACCUAUUUGUGAGUAUGUUUGAUUAUGGUUAAAUAAAAGGCAAAAUUAAUUUGUGUGACAUUGUGAUAACAGAGAGAAACACCACACCAUACACCUGUGAAUUGAGUGAGACACUUAUGAAUGCUUGAGGGAUAUAUUUGAGUGCUUGAGUGAAACACUUUCCCUGGUGAGGAAUAAUUCUCUGAAUUUUUGAUUGCAUCUUUGCUUCGUUUAUUAUCAUUCUUAAGGAUAAUACCUGUUUAAUGCAUUGAAACAUCUACACAUCUUGACUGAGAUCUUAUGCUGAACUUGAUGAGAGUAAAUUCUUGUCCUGAAAAGAUUUUUAAAAAGGUUGAGUCAUUGUAGUGAUGGUUCUGAAAAGCUGAGCUGCAUUUUGUUUGCUUGAGGACAACCAAAGUUCUAAGUUUGGGGUUAUGAUAACGAAAUAAAAUACCGUUAUUUGAUACAUGAUUUUGAUACUAAAAGCACCCUUUCGGUAAAUUGUGUGAAUAAGAGAGUUGAGGUUUAUUUUAACUGUUUUCUAACAAAUUCUCCUUGUUUUAAUAGAGAUUGAAGCAAUAAAGGAAGAAGAAGUGAGAAGCCAUGAAGAUGGAGCUCAAAAAGGGUCAAAGAGGCAUCAAAAAGGAAGAAAACCUACAGCUCGAGCGAGCCCAGGCGAGAAGAACGAAGAAUUUACGAGCUGGAAAUCACCGCUCGUCGCUCGGGUGACGGACCCAACACCCGGGCGACAGACGUUCGUAGCCUAGGCGAGGAAAACUGAUGCCCAAGCUCAACAUGAGCAUUGAUUCACGCUUGGGCGAGCUCCCUGCGACGCUUGAGCAUGAAUUCACCUGGAUCGGCCCUAUUUUUGCUUUGAUUUGAUUCUUUUGGACCGGGCCGCACUCUGGGACGCGCCUGACACUAUUUAAAGGACCCUGGGGCUCUAAAUUUUGCAUCCCCUAGCAGAGAAGAGCACUCCAAUACACUCUUAGCCAAUUCUAGAUCUUCCAUCUUCUUCUUCUCUUCCAUUAUUCAUAGGUUCCCCCAUGUCUAUGGGGAACUAAUUUCUAUUUGUUGUUGGGGAAUGAUGUAACCUUGUGAACUCUCAUGUAUUUGAAUUGAUUCUUAAUUUCAUAUGCUUUUUCCAUUAAUUGUU